RNAcentral lists this long non-coding RNA (1250 nucleotides) under Mytilus galloprovincialis (Mediterranean mussel). Lineage: Eukaryota; Metazoa; Mollusca; Bivalvia; Mytilida; Mytilidae. The record is from RNAcentral.
GGGGAAAUUAUGACUUUAUAUGACAAGAAAUUGCAAAUUAGUCUUUGCUGACUAUGAUAUGUUUUUUUUUUGGUUUUCGCGUUCUUGUCUGACAGUUGAGUUUUUCAUUAAAAGUUUUUAGUUCCUUUCGACAAAAUUGAACAUAGCAUUAUUCUUACUACAUUUGUAUAAACUUCAAGAUUAUAAUUAUUUUUUUUAAAACCGGUUUUUUUCUAAAGUGAAUAUUGAUCAAUAUUUUCGAAGGGUUAAAUAUUUCUCAGUGAUGUCCUGCCAUGGCUUUGUUUAAAUUUGUUUGUUAGCUUUUUGUUCAUGAAUUUUUGUCUCUAAUAUUUAAUUAACUAUGCAUUUGUAUUCAGAUGUUGCAGAUCAAAUAUAUUCGUUCAUUGUGUAAUCAUACGUUUUUUGAUUGAGUUAAGUCUACCAAUUGAUAUUUUAUCGUGUGUUUUUCUAUGUUGUGAUGUUAUGCUAUUGUUUCAGAAAAAGGGAGAAGGUUUGGAUCCAUUAAAACGUUUAAUCCCGCUGCAAAUGUUUGCACCUGUCCUAAGUCAGGAAUCUGAUGUACAGUAGUUGUCGUUUGUUUAUGUAAUAUAUACGUGUUUCUCGUUUCUCGUUUUGCUUAUAUAGAUUAGACCGUUGGUUUUCCCGUUUGAAUGGUUUUACACUAGUAAUGUUGGGGCUCUUUAUAGCUUGUUGUUCGGUGUGAGCCAAGGCUCCGUGUUGAAGGCCGUAUACUUUAACCUAUAAUGGUUUACUUUUUAAAUUGUUAUUUGGAUGGAGAGUUGUCUCAUUGGCACUCACACCACAUCUUCCUUUUUCUAUAGCACCUUUUGAAGUCUUACGCAAACGAUGCGCCUGUUUUCCCUUCACAGGACAUUCACUGAUAUAUUGUAGACGAAAUGCGCGUCUGGCGUAAAUAUAAAAUUUAAAUACUGGUAUCUAUGAUGAGUUAAAACUUAAAAUGCAACCACUGAGUCGACGCCAUUGCUGGUAGAGAUUUAUUUCCCCGAGGGUAUCACCAGCCCAGUAGUCAGCACUUGUGUUGACUUGGCUUAUCAUUGAUAUAAUCUUAUAAAUUAACACCGUUUUGAAUUUUUGAAAAAACUAAGGUUUUUCUACACCAGGAAUAGACUGCCUUACCUGUAUUUUGCAAAACUACUAGGAAUGUUAUGUUCUCAAUGUUCUUCAACUUCGUCCUUUAUUUUGGCCUUUCAAUCAUUAUUUUGAUUCGAGCGUCACUAAUGAGUCUUUGU